RNAcentral lists this unclassified non-coding RNA (316 nucleotides) under plant metagenome. RNAcentral describes it as "partial contains 5.8S ribosomal RNA, internal transcribed spacer 2, and large subunit ribosomal RNA". The stretch from base 1 to 105 matches the Rfam family "5.8S ribosomal RNA", at positions 50 to 154 of the family's 154-position model. The record is from RNAcentral.
GAAAUGCGAUAAGUAAUGUGAAUUGCAGAAUUCAGUGAAUCAUCGAAUCUUUGAACGCACAUUGCGCCCCUUGGCAUUCCGAGGGGCAUGCCUGUUCGAGCGUCAUUACACCAAUCACGCCUGGCGUGGUAUUGGGCGACGGGGGAAGCGUGUCCUCGCGACGCGGCCCCGCGCCCCAAUGACUCCGGCGAGACGGACCGAAUCUCAGCGUUGUGACCAAAAGCCGCUGGGGACACGGGACGCCUGGGCCGUUAAACACCCCCUUUCUUAUCAAGGUUGACCUCGGAUCAGGUAGGGAUACCCGCUGAACUUAAGC